Molecule: ribosomal RNA, 253 nt
Filed under: uncultured bacterium
Lineage: Bacteria
Description: partial 16S ribosomal RNA
Rfam family: Bacterial small subunit ribosomal RNA
Source: RNAcentral
UACGGAGGAUGCAAGCGUUAUCCGGAAUGAUUGGGCGUAAAGCGUCCGCAGGUGGCUAUGUAAGUCUGCUGUUAAAGAGUCUAGCUCAACUAGAUACAAGCAGUGGAAACUACAAGGCUAGAGUACGUUCGGGGCAGAGGGAAUUCCUGGUGUAGCGGUGAAAUGCGUAGAGAUCAGGAAGAACACCGGUGGCGAAGGCGGCCAGCUAGACCAGUUCUGACACUGAGGCGCGACAGCGUGGGGAGCAAACAGG